GACGAACGCUGGCGGCGUGCUUAACACAUGCAAGUCGAACGGUAAGGCCCUUCGGGGUACACGAGUGGCGAACGGGUGAGUAACACGUGGGUGAUCUGCCCUGCACUUCGGGAUAAGCCUGGGAAACUGGGUCUAAUACCGGAUAGGACCACUGCCUGCAUGGGUGGUGGUGGAAAGCUUUUGCGGUGUGGGAUGGGCCCGCGGCCUAUCAGCUUGUUGGUGGGGUGAUGGCCUACCAAGGCGACGACGGGUAGCCGGCCUGAGAGGGUGGACGGCCACACUGGGAUGGAGAUACGGCCCAGACUCCUACGGGAGGCAGCAGUGGGGAAUAUUGCACAAUGGGCGCAAGCCUGAUGCAGCGACGCCGCGUGAGGGAUGACGGCCUUCGGGUUGUAAACCUCUUUCAGCACCGACGAAGCGCAAGUGACGGUAGGUGCAGAAGAAGGACCGGCCAACUACGUGCCAGCCGCCGCCGUAA
RNAcentral lists this ribosomal RNA (478 nucleotides) under uncultured bacterium. Its description in RNAcentral is "partial 16S ribosomal RNA". It matches the Rfam family "Bacterial small subunit ribosomal RNA", at positions 28 to 523 of the family's 1533-position model. The record is from RNAcentral.